GCUCCGGUCGUCUAGUCCGGCCAAGGACACCGGCCUCUCGAGCCGGAGACCCGGGUUCAAAUCCCGGCCGGAGCA
Molecule: transfer RNA, 75 nt
Rfam family: tRNA
About the family: Transfer RNA (tRNA) molecules are approximately 80 nucleotides in length. Their secondary structure includes four short double-helical elements and three loops (D, anti-codon, and T loops). Further hydrogen bonds mediate the characteristic L-shaped molecular structure. tRNAs have two regions of fundamental functional importance: the anti-codon, which is responsible for specific mRNA codon recognition, and the 3' end, to which the tRNAs corresponding amino acid is attached (by aminoacyl-tRNA synthetases). tRNAs cope with the degeneracy of the genetic code in two manners: having more than one tRNA (with a specific anti-codon) for a particular amino acid; and 'wobble' base-pairing, i.e. permitting non-standard base-pairing at the 3rd anti-codon position.